This 111-nucleotide ribosomal RNA is filed under the name uncultured ectomycorrhiza (Basidiomycota). RNAcentral's name for it is "partial 28S ribosomal RNA". It matches the Rfam family "Eukaryotic large subunit ribosomal RNA", at positions 1 to 108 of the family's 3401-position model. The record is from RNAcentral. Lineage: Eukaryota; Fungi; Basidiomycota.
GUUCGAUCUCAAAUCAGGUAGGACUACCCGCUGAACUUAAGCAUAUCAAUAAGCGGAGGAAAAGAAACUAACAAGGAUUCCCCUAGUAACUGCGAGUGAAGCGGGAAGAGC